This 251-nucleotide long non-coding RNA is filed under the name Carica papaya (papaya). RNAcentral's name for it is "long non-coding RNA (CPAP_LNC003121)". Lineage: Eukaryota; Viridiplantae; Streptophyta; Magnoliopsida; Brassicales; Caricaceae. The record is from RNAcentral.
GGGAAAAAGUUAUCAAAGAAUGCAUCAAUGAAAACUUCUCAAGUGGUAGGGGUAUGUAAGACUUCCUUCUUAAGUUGCCACCAGUGUUCACCUUCAUCGUUAAGCAUAAAAGCUGCUAGGGGAACCUUCUGUUCCUGAAUCAGGUCUAGAACAGAGAAAAUCUUCUCUAUUUAUAGGAUCUAGGCUUCAGCUACUAAGGGGUCAGAGCCACCUUCAAAAUGCAGCGAGUUAAGCUUCCUAAACUCUGCUAU